AGUAAGAGAGAAAUAGAGAAGGCUAUGGAUUUGGGUAGUGAUGUAGAGAAGAAGAUUAAGUUUGACCCUAAAAUGGAAACGCCACAAGAAUAUGCUUUAUACUGCAACUGGGUUUCCUUCAAGAUCUUCUUCCAUAAAGACCCCAAAGCCCUCAUCCAGACCUUCGAUCUCGCCGGAAAUACUGCCAUCCACGUCUCCACCCGGUCCGACGACCCCGACCUCAUCCGACAACUCCUCGACAUGCUUCCUGACGACGGGGAUCGCCGGCAAGCGCUGAGGAUGGGGAAUGCUCACAACAACACGCUUCUUCAUCAGGUCAUUUUCUGCAACAAUCUAAAGAUGGUCGAAACCGUGCUCAACUCCGAGAUGGACAAGAAGCUAAAGAAGACUAAUGAUGAUGAAGAUGAUCUAUUGGAGCUGCUGAACGACCUCGGUGAAACGCCGCUGUAUAGGGCCGCCAAGUGCGGACGGCUGAGGAUGUUGAAGCACAUGGCCGGAUUAGUGGAUGAUAUGAAGAAGCAUUUUCACAGGCGACAGCCAAAACUAGACAUCACUUCCAUUCUUCACAUCGCUAUAAUUGGCCAACAUUUUGAUGUGGCAGUUUGGCUGUCGAAAAAGGAAGGGAUAGAGAAAGUAGCGUUCGAGAACGAUGGGAACAAAUUGACGUGUCUUCAAUUGCUUUCCAGAAUGCCUUCUGUUUUCCAGAGCUAUAAUUCCCAUUCUUCCAGACAAAGGUUAUGAUGAUGAAGAUGAAGAUAAUGGAUUUAUGAGAGGGAAGGGAGAUUUAGAAACUGGAAAAAACAAGCUCAAGAAACAAAUCUCAUUACGUUCUGGUACGUACAUAUACCUCGCUACUCAUCAACAACUUCUUCAUAUUGAAUGCUAUUAUAUAUUGCAGUUUUCUCAAGGAUUUGCUACACUCUCUGGAAAAUUAUCGCCAAAGAAUGGGAUAUUGUGAAAGAAAUCUGGGAGAGGAAGAAGAAACACAGGUUGGCAGAGUUACUAGCGGACUUCUUAGUAAGCCAGGACAACUCAUGGAUGGAAACAAAACAUGGAGAACCUCCAAACGAGGUUGUCCUGUCAGUGAUUCAACCCUCCAAUGUCACCGCCACGAAGAAAUUAGCCAUGCUCGAAAAGACCCACUCGCUCGAGAAACCCAUCCCUUGCAAGGAUUACACGCCAUUGCUGCUAGCAGCGAGCACAGGUAUCGUGGAGAUCGUCAAGAGGAUCAUCGAGCUUCAUCCAGACGCCAUCUCUCACAUUAGCCAACACGACGAGCAGAACGUGCUUCACGUCGCCGUCAAGCAUCGUCAGAAAUAGAUCUAUAAGCUGUUCAAGAAAUAUGGAGCUCUCAGAUGGUUGGGUUGUCAGAUGGCAAAUCAAGGUCAGACUCUAUUGCACCAGGUUGCGGGGAUGGAUUAUUAUGAUGGAGGCAAUCAGCUUGGUGUUGUGUUUCAACUUCAGGACGAGCUACGUUGGUUCGAACGAGUGAAGAGAAUAGUACCUUCUCCUUACCAGUUAUAUUGCAACGG
Molecule: RNA transcript, 1532 nt
Organism: Prosopis cineraria
Lineage: Eukaryota; Viridiplantae; Streptophyta; Magnoliopsida; Fabales; Fabaceae
Exons: 5
Source: RefSeq, a predicted model, not a curated record